GACGAACGCUGGCGGCGUGCUUAACACAUGCAAGUCGAACGGAAAGGCCCCCACCUUGGUGGGGGUGCUCGAGUGGCGAACGGGUGAGUAAAACGUGGGUGAUCUGCCCUGUACUUCGGGAUAAGCUUGGGAAACUGGGUCUAAUACCGGAUAGGACCAUGGUUUAGUGUCUCAUGGUGGAAAAAUUAUUGUUUUGGUGCAGGAUGAGCUCGCGGCCUAUCAGCUUGUUGGUGGGGUAAUGGCCUACCAAGGCGUCGACGGGUAGCCGGCCUGAGAGGGUGGACGGCCACAUUGGGACUGAGAUACGGCCCAGACUCCUACGGGAGGCAGCAGUGGGGAAUAUUGCACAAUGGGCGCAAGCCUGAUGCAGCGACGCCGCGUGGGGGAUGACGGCCUUCGGGUUGUAAACUCCUUUCGUUAGGGACGAAGCCACACCUUGUUUGGGUGUGGUGACGGUACCUUUGGUAAGAAGCACCGGCUAACUACGU
RNAcentral lists this ribosomal RNA (488 nucleotides) under uncultured bacterium. RNAcentral's name for it is "partial 16S ribosomal RNA". It matches the Rfam family "Bacterial small subunit ribosomal RNA", at positions 28 to 506 of the family's 1533-position model. The record is from RNAcentral.